GACACAUGGCCCAUUUAGCUGUCCUCAUGUAAUCAUCUCUCCUAGACAGCCUUCCAAUAGUGUUUUCCAUUCUCUCUCUGUCAGGUUCAGCCUUUACUCACCUUGAUUCGUGUUUACUUCCUGAACCCUGAUGCCCACAGCAAUACUCAUUCUAUUCGUAGUAAUGCUUUUGUAUCCUUUACCUUUUCUGAGAACCUUCUUCUACUUUCUACUGUAGCAGAAGCAGCCGAUACUCUUACUAGUGUGUCAUGUUCCUAGAAACCUUCUCAAGCCACUGACAUGAACGUUUCUGCCUGUCUGCUCAUUCAGGGUCAGUAGGUACAUAGGGUUCAGUAUUUUCUUGGUGACUUCAAGAUCAUUGUCCAACAACCCCAAGUGAAGAGGCCCUUAUCACUUGACUCUCAAAAAUUUCAAUUACAAAUCCUUUGAUCAACAUUCAGGUCAGCCACUUUCCCUUUUCCUCUUCCUACAUCGAUGACUCUCACAAAAGAUUCAAAGUCUUACUUUUGUCCUCCUGGGGGAUUUGAAUGUCCAUGUGGUUGGUCCAUCUAAUGUGCAGUAUCCUGUGAUCACCACUGUGGCAACACUGGUCACCCAAGGUCACGUUAUCACCUGAACACUACUCUACCGCUGACAUCUCAAAUGCCUGUCCUCCCACCCUGUUUAUGCCCUCACUCCUUCAAUUCUAUUAAAUGUUUCUUUGGUCUUACUAAAGAGCAGAUUAUCUUCUUUGGUCUUGACAUCUGGUUAUUCUGGGUCAGUGGCUCCUUCUGCCCCUAUUUUCCUCCAGUACCUGAAGCACAUGGUCAAGUGAAGCUGGUAGAAUUCUUCCCUAGUCCCUUGUCCUUCUAUGACAUCUUUCCCAUGAAACCCAAGAUGGACCAUCUCAACUCUUUAUCUUACCCGUGUGUUUGCACCCUGAUGCUUACAAAGGCAAUCUUUUGAAAAACAGAUGAGAAAAUAAAUGGGAAAACAAUUAAUAAAAUCUUAGACCCAGAGAAAUGCUAUUCUUUAUGAGCUUAGCAACUUUGGGAUACUUUACAAAAAUGUACAACAAAUAUACGCUUCCAGGACUAAUAUCUGAGGACUAAUAUUCCAGGACUAAUAUCAUACUUUUUUGGGAAUAAUUUUAGCAGAGACUUUCAAUGAGGGUAAAUAACAUUUCAGUUCUAUUGGUGUCAGGUUUUUCUAAUGGGACCAGAGUCCCAGGAUGACACAGUUGAGUCAGGCUGGUGGCAAUACCAUGACAUGCAAUACCUUUUCUGGGCACACCCUUACCACUCACAGGCUUUGGAAAAGGAGAGAAUUUAAUGUUCAUGGGAGUUUAAUGUGAGAACUAGAACUUAAGAAUGCACUUUCCCCACAUGGCUUAAGGUAGAGUGGGAAAGCAUAGGAAAGAAAUGAGGUUCUUUUCUGAUACGCUUUCACCCUCUCCUCGGCUGAACCUUUCUGUCUCAUGUUUCUCUAAGCUUGGGCCUCACAGAUUGAACCACACCAAAAGCAGCAUUUUCUUGAGGAAGUUUAUUAUGCAAAGCCUUUGAUGAUUUUUUCUUCCAGUUUAAGGUGAUCAUAGAGAAAAGUGAUGAUUUUGAUAGUCUGAUGGCUUCAAAUGAAAUCAUUGCCCCAGGACCCCAGCAGACCGUCCUGGUUCCCAGUGAGGAUGGGGCAACUCUUCUUUUCCCAGUUACACCAGCACACCUGGGAGAAAUUCCUGUCACAGUCACAGCUGUCUCGCCUGCUAUUUCUGAUGCCGUCACCCAUAGAGUUUUAGUGAAGGCUGAAGGGAUAGAAAAAUCCUAUUCGCAAUGCAUCUUAUUAGACUUGAUGGACAGCAGGUGACAAACUACCCUGAGAACGUCUUUUCCCCCUCCCUCUUCAUACAGUGAGCGGUUGUGAAAGAGUUCAGAUCAGCUGCAGUUGGACUGCCCUCCAUUUGGCCUGUGCCAAUGGCCACGGAGGCGUGGUAACUCUCCUGGAGCGAGGAUGCCAGGUGAACACUCAGGACAGGAAGAAAAGGAUGGUGCUGAUCAAGGUGUGUAGCAGCCAGCCGUGCCCACGUGAGAUGGAUUCCAUGUAAUGACUUAAAUUAAAACUCAAUUGAUCUGAUUUAAGCUGUAUAGUGCGAGGCGGAGGAGUGCGUGGACAUCCUCCUUAAAAGUGGAGCGAACGUCAACGCCGCAGAUGUACUUGGCAACACUGCACUCCACUAUGCGGCAUCCUCAACACAACGUGUAUUGCGGCGAAGCUUCUAUCCCAUGCCGCGGACAUGGACGUGAAAAACCAGGAUGACCUGACACCACUAUUAGUUGCCAUAAGGGAAAACAGGCAGUGAAUGGCAGAAUUUUUAAAUGAAAAACAGGCAAAUAUACAUGCAAUUGAGAAGAUGAAAAGCAAUCACCAAUGGAUUUCUGAACACAAAGACGAAAAGAGAUGUGAAACGCCUUUUCAAGAUACCAACCCAGAUAAGACUCCUGAUUGUGAAACAUCAGCUUUCUACUCAACAGAGGAGGAAGAUGCACCUUCUCCUGAUAUGGAGGAAGGGGUGACCGAGGCAGAAAUUGAGCAAGAUGAACCUGGUACUGAAAUGGAUGCAGACGAUGAAGGUGGUUGAGAGGAGCCAACAGAUGAGAAGGAAUUGACGUCUGUGGGUGGAACAAACAAAGCUGACAUGUCCAGUGAAACAUCACCCUGCUACUCGGGAGAAGCCGAAGACGCACAGUCUCCCGAUGAGGAGGAAGUUUCAACUGAGCCAGAAACUGAAAAAGAAGAAGAUGUUACUGAAUCUCUUGAAGGUCCUACAGAGGAAUCAACUGUUCAGGCCAAAAUGACUUUUGAUGAAGGAGUUCUUAUAUUUAUCUUAUUUUUAUGUAGCAUUUACUUGAUAUUUGUAGUGUUAUAUAAACCUACGCUUGGUGACAUGUGGCCGGGUUAAAUGUUGUAUACUGCAUUGUAUCCGUUUGUUUGUGUCUUUUAAGACACAGUCCGGUCUUCCCAGCAUUCCCCGAGCCAAGACCUGCCCCAGACUCUUCUCUCCUUUGUGCCCUGACUAUCCAUUGACUUCAGUUGUAGAGCUGUUGGAUGACCCUUUUCUGUGCUGAUUGGUUUUCACAUGUCCCUGCCUCUGGUACAACGCAGAGCAGAAUCUGUCUUUCGUGUGUAUUCCCGGCUAACAUCACCCUGCUACUCUGGAGAAGCUGAAGACGCACAGCCUCCCGAUGAGGAGGAAGUUUCAACUGAGCCAGAAACUGAAAAAGAAGAAUAUGAUACUGAAUCUCUUGAAGGUCCUUCAGAGGAAUCAACUGUUCAGGACAAAAUGACUUUUGAUGAAGAGUUUUUAUAUCUUAUUUUUAUGUAGCAUUUAUUUGAUAUUUGUAGUGUCAUAUAAACCUACACUUGAUGACGUGUGGCUGGGUUAAAUGUUAUAUACUGCAUUGUAUCCGUUUGUUAAUUCUUUCCCCUCAAUUGAUUAAACCCGUCUGUAUAGCUCAAAAACCUGUGGUU
This is a long non-coding RNA of Camelus dromedarius (Arabian camel), 3501 nucleotides long. RefSeq lists it as uncharacterized. The record is from RefSeq and is a predicted model, not a curated record. The transcript has 11 exons. Lineage: Eukaryota; Metazoa; Chordata; Mammalia; Artiodactyla; Camelidae.